This 526-nucleotide ribosomal RNA is filed under the name uncultured bacterium. RNAcentral's name for it is "bacterial SSU rRNA". It matches the Rfam family "Bacterial small subunit ribosomal RNA", at positions 18 to 518 of the family's 1533-position model. The record is from RNAcentral.
UCUUGGUCAGGACGAACGCUGGCGGCGUGCCUAAUACAUGCAAGUCGAACGGUCUUUCUAUGGAAGCUUGCUUCCACUGAGAGGAUAGUGGCGAACGGGUGAGUAACACGUGGGUAACCUGCCCAUAAGAGGGGGAUAACAUCCGGAAACGGGUGCUAAUACCGCAUAGUUUUCUUGAUCGCAUGAUCGGGAAGGAAAGACGGCCUUUGUGCUGUCGCUUAUGGAUGGACCCGCGGCGUAUUAGUUAGUUGGUGAGGUAACGGCUCACCAAGACGAUGAUACGUAGCCGACCUGAGAGGGUGAUCGGCCACAUUGGGACUGAGACACGGCCCAAACUCCUACGGGAGGCAGCAGUAGGGAAUCUUCCGCAAUGGACGAAAGUCUGACGGAGCAACGCCGCGUGAGUGAAGAAAGGUUUUCGGAUCGUAAAACUCUGUUGUCAGAGAAGAACAAGUUGGAGAGUAACUGCUCCAGCCUUGACGGUAUCUGACCAGAAAGCCACGGCUAACUACGUGCCAGCCGCUGC